Long non-coding RNA from Paramormyrops kingsleyae, 1397 nucleotides. RefSeq lists it as uncharacterized. The record is from RefSeq and is a predicted model, not a curated record. NCBI's taxonomy places the organism in Eukaryota, Metazoa, Chordata, Actinopteri, Osteoglossiformes, Mormyridae.
CUCGGUUGUUUCCCGCUAUCAACUUAAAUAGGCUGAUUCCUGUUAGCUUAAUCAAAUACCCAUUCGCAAGUAUCGAUUUUUAAUGUGCUGGUAUUGUACAGUUUUCAAAACUCUGGUACGACGUUUUUUAAGUACCGGUUUACCGCACAACCAUACUGCUUACAUAUACAUAGUUUCAAAAAGGUAGAAAACAUGUGUCACAGGAAUUAGGAGAAAUCCUGUAGCAGAAUAUGAGCCGUCAGUGUCUACAGAUGCUUCAGAUGUAGCGUCUCCAUCAUUGAUUUUCUCUUCGUUCACCGUCCAGUGGAGUCUCACCUGACUGUCAGAACAGGUUGGUGGCGUUGUGGACCAGGUAGCUGAGGACAAACUGGGGCCCGAACCCGCGGCUCUGCCUGUACCAGCUGAUGUGCAUACGGCUGGCAGUCCUCAGUGGACAGAAAUGGUUUGACCACCUGGCUCCGGCAGCAGAGGGUUGCCUGCCUGCCUGCCUGCCGCUUCCCCUGGGACUCUCAGGAAAUAACUCUUUUGCAUCUCUGUAAUUUACCAAGGACUUGGGGGAUGGACACCUGCUAGAAACCCUUGGAGAUCCAGGAAUACAGCAAAAUGUGUGAAGCAAGGGAAAAACGUUGGUUGGCCACCGUAAAACUUCACACAGCUCCAACAGUGCAGACAGGACUAUUUUCUGCUCUCCGCGGGAGCAGCUCUGCUGCAGCCGCCCGCAGGAAGGCUGCAGGCACCAUGAAGGGGAUGAGGGAAAGCCCUCGGGAGCCUCAUCCCAGGAGCCGAAACCAGAGGGCCAAUGGGGUCCAGCCUGCUGAGGAUUAGGGCUGGUGUGGACCAAGGCUUUGCCAGCUACGAGGAAACACCACGGACCUAAUCUGAGGUGGCCCACUGGAGUAAUCAUAUGGAACAUCGUGUCUCUCCAGCAUGAUGACCGUCUUGUUCUGCUGUGGGGAGAGCUUCAUACACUCUCUGAGGUACGCAGACCAGGGAGUGGCCAGAACUCUGUAGGCACUUGCAGGUUUAAGUCCCGUUCGCCGCCUUCUCGGGACCCAGUGGCAUAGGGCAACGAACAGCACAGCCACUGGAAAGGGCUGUGAAAACUCAGGACACUGGGCAGGGAGACACCAGCCCGCCUGCCCUCACUCCUGGCACACCUUCAGGAAAGACUGAGUCGGAACAGCACUCGCCUUGUUCAGGGAGUGUUUAAAGUAAGAAACGGCCGAAGAACCAAACAAGUUCUGCAUGCCACAGUCAAGACUCGCUCUGUCAGCGGCCAUCACCGCAGCGCUGGAAAUGGAAACAGAAACAUACCCUGCAAACUUAAGUUUCACUUUCUCCUGGUGACUUUUGAAACAUCAGGGAUUGCAACAUGGUGACGAUCUGGAGGUAAGCCC